GACGAACGCUGGCGGCGUGCUUAACACAUGCAAGUCAAGGGGGCCCGCAAGGGCAACCGGCGAACGGGUGCGUAACACGUGAGCAAUCUGCCUAGAUGUGGGGGAUAGCCGGCCCAACGGCCGGGUAAUACCGCAUACGCUCACCGGGUGGCAUCACCUGGUGAGGAAACAUUUUUGGCAUCUAGAGGAGCUCGCGGCCUAUCAGCUAGUUGGUGGGGUAACGGCCUACCAAGGCAUUGACGGGUAGCUGGUCUGAGAGGAUGGCCAGCCACAUUGGGACUGAGAUACGGCCCAGACUCCUACGGGAGGCAGCAGUGGGGAAUAUUGCGCAAUGGCCGAAAGGCUGACGCAGCGACGCCGCGUGGGGGAUGAAGCAUUUCGGUGUGUAAACCCCUGUUGCUCGGGACGAACAACUGGAUUUUUCCAGUCUGACGGUACCGGGUGAGGAAGCACCGGCUAACUCCGUGCCAGCAGCCGCGGUAAUGUACAGUGU
RNAcentral lists this ribosomal RNA (493 nucleotides) under uncultured bacterium. Its description in RNAcentral is "bacterial SSU rRNA". It matches the Rfam family "Bacterial small subunit ribosomal RNA", at positions 28 to 533 of the family's 1533-position model. The record is from RNAcentral.